RNAcentral lists this ribosomal RNA (460 nucleotides) under uncultured bacterium. Its description in RNAcentral is "partial 16S ribosomal RNA". It matches the Rfam family "Bacterial small subunit ribosomal RNA", at positions 339 to 795 of the family's 1533-position model. The record is from RNAcentral.
CUACGGGUUGCUCCAGUAAGGAAUAUUGCGCAAUGGAGGCAACUCUGACGCAGCCAUGCCGCGUGCAGGACUGAAGGCCUUAUGGGUCGUAAACUGCUUUUAUUUAGGAACAAACUUUCGUACGUGUACGAGACUGAAGGUACUAAAUGAAUAAGCACCGGCUAACUCCGUGCCAGCAGCCGCGGUAAUACGGAGGGUGCAGGCGUUAUCCGGAUUUAUUGGGUUUAAAGGGUGCGCAGGCGGACUAUUAAGUCAGAGGUGAAAUCCCGGAGCUCAACUUCGGAACUGCCUUUGAUACUGGUAGUCUUGAAUACGGUUGAAGUAGGCGGAAUGUAGCAUGUAGCGGUGAAAUGCAUAGAGAUGCUACAGAACACCGAUCGCGAAGGCAGCUUACUAAGCCGAUAUUGACGCUCAGGCACGAAAGCGUGGGGAGCGAACAGGAUUAGAUACCCCUGUAGUC